GACGAACGCUGGCGGCGUGCUUAACACAUGCAAGUCGAACGGAAAGGCCCUGCUUUUGUGGGGUGCUCGAGUGGCGAACGGGUGAGUAACACGUGAGUAACCUGCCCUUGACUUUGGGAUAACUUCAGGAAACUGGGGCUAAUACCGGAUAGGAGCUCCUGCUGCAUGGUGGGGGUUGGAAAGUUUCGGCGGUUGGGGAUGGACUCGCGGCUUAUCAGCUUGUUGGUGGGGUAGUGGCUUACCAAGGCUUUGACGGGUAGCCGGCCUGAGAGGGUGACCGGCCACAUUGGGACUGAGAUACGGCCCAGACUCCUACGGGAGGCAGAAGUGGGGAAUAUUGAACAAUGGGCGGAAGCCUGAUGCAGCAACGCCGCGUGCGGGAUGACGGCCUUAGGGUUGUAAACCGAUUUCGCCUGUGACGAAGCGUGAGUGACGGUAAUGGGUAAAGAAGCACCGGCUAACUAAGUG
RNAcentral lists this ribosomal RNA (468 nucleotides) under uncultured bacterium. RNAcentral describes it as "partial 16S ribosomal RNA". It matches the Rfam family "Bacterial small subunit ribosomal RNA", at positions 28 to 507 of the family's 1533-position model. The record is from RNAcentral.